AACGAACGCUGGCGGCAGGCUUAACACAUGCAAGUCGAACGCCCCGCAAGGGGAGUGGCAGACGGGUGAGUAACGCGUGGGAACGUACCCUUCAGUUCGGAAUAACCCAGGGAAACUUGGGCUAAUACCGGAUACGUCCGUAAGGAGAAAGAUUCAUCGCUGAAGGAUCGGCCCGCGUCGGAUUAGCUAGUUGGUGGGGUAACGGCCCACCAAGGCGACGAUCCGUAGCUGGUCUGAGAGGAUGAUCAGCCACACUGGGACUGAGACACCGGCCCAGACUCCUACGGGAGGCAGCAGUGGGGAAUAUUGGACAAUGGGCGAAAGCCUGAUCCAGCCAUGCCGCGUGAGUGAAGAAGGCCUUAGGGUU
RNAcentral lists this ribosomal RNA (367 nucleotides) under uncultured bacterium. RNAcentral's name for it is "bacterial SSU rRNA". It matches the Rfam family "Bacterial small subunit ribosomal RNA", at positions 29 to 424 of the family's 1533-position model. The record is from RNAcentral.